CCUACGGGUGGCAGCAGUGAGGAAUAUUGGUCAAUGGCCGGAAGGCUGAACCAGCCAUGCCGCGUGAAGGUCAGUGCCCUAUGGGCGUUAAACUUCUUUUGUGCGGGAGCAAUAAUGGUCACGUGUGGAUAUUUGCAUGUACCCUAUGAAUAAGCAUCGGCUAACUCCGUGCCAGCAGCCGCGGUAAUACGGAGGAUGCGAGCGUUAUCCGGAUUUAUUGGGUUUAAAGGGUGCGUAGGUUGUUUUUUAAGUCAGCGGUGAAAGUUUGUGGCUCAACCAUAAAAUUGCCGUUGAAACUGGAAGACUUGAGUGUGUUUGAGGUAGGCGGAAUGCGUGGUGUAGCGGUGAAAUGCAUAGAUAUCACGCAGAACUCCGAUUGCGAAGGCAGCUUACUAAGCCAUAACUGACACUGAAGCCCGAAAGCGUGGGGAGCAAACAGGAUUAGAUACCCUUGUAGUC
RNAcentral lists this ribosomal RNA (459 nucleotides) under uncultured bacterium. RNAcentral's name for it is "partial 16S ribosomal RNA". It matches the Rfam family "Bacterial small subunit ribosomal RNA", at positions 338 to 795 of the family's 1533-position model. The record is from RNAcentral.